RNAcentral lists this small nuclear RNA (165 nucleotides) under Carlito syrichta (Philippine tarsier). RNAcentral describes it as "U1 spliceosomal RNA (ENSTSYG00000037153.1)". It matches the Rfam family "U1 spliceosomal RNA". Rfam says of the family: U1 is a small nuclear RNA (snRNA) component of the spliceosome (involved in pre-mRNA splicing). Its 5' end forms complementary base pairs with the 5' splice junction, thus defining the 5' donor site of an intron. The record is from Rfam by way of RNAcentral. Lineage: Eukaryota; Metazoa; Chordata; Mammalia; Primates; Tarsiidae.
AUACUUACCUGGCAGGGGAGAUACCAUGAUCAUGAAGGUGAUUUUUCCCAGGGCAAGGCUUAUCUGUUGCACUCCAAAUGUGCUGACCCCUGCGAUUUCUCCAAAUGUGGGAACCUCGACUACAUAAUUUGCGGUAGUGGGGGACUGUGUUCAUGCUCUCCCCUG